UCCUUGCUGUGUGUGACUAGAUUCUUCUCCCUGUCUGUGAAUACUAUUUCUCUUCCUCGAAGCUCACCUCCACAGCAUAGUGGCUGGUCUCCAAGAAGAAGAAAAAAAGGAAACAGUGAAGAGAAAAAGGAAAGAAAAGGGAAAUGUGAGAACAAAAAUGGCAACAAAGGUAUUCAGCAUCAUAACCCAAAGAGAAAGAAUGUGAUAGCUAAUUCUUAUUGCUACCCUUGCUGGAUUAAGAAAUGUCUGGAAUACAGAAUGUACUUGGGUGGAUCUGUGAGUCCAUUUCCAGAGAAGGACUGCUGACUAAGACGAUCUACACUGAACUUUAGUGGACUGGGAUGUCAAAGUGUGGAAAAGAAGGAGGUCAGCUGAGUUGCAGGAUUCUGCCUUCUCACUUUCUUUGUCUUCUGUGAUGUCCAGGAGAAGCUGCCUCGUGCUCCUGCCAUACCCUCCUCACAAAUUUACAGUGCCCUUGAAAUUGCCUUCAAAGUAAACAUUUCCUCCCUUAUAAGAGUGUAUUCAGGUAUUUGGCAACAUCAAAAUCAAUAGUCAGACAUAAAGGACUGGAAAAAAAAGAUGCUGGUGCCAAAAUGAAACAUCUGGGAAAACAGGACGUUUGGCGGCUUCUUUGAAUUUAGGGGGACUGCAGUGAAGACUGUGAGGCAGUGUGGAGCACCUUGAGUCUACAGAAAAAGAAUCAUGGGCUUAGUCAUUUGGAUUAUGACCAAGAAGUCAUAAGUGAAGCCUUGGGAAAGAAUGACCUUUACUGAGAAAGGACAUGGAGAAACAGAGGAGUUGAACUCAGUGAUGCUCCUUAGCUUCUGGUGCAAUGAGAUGGCUCAGCAGAUGGUUUGGUCUUUGGUCGGCUGCUCGUCACUAGCAUCAGUUCAGAUCCUAGACAACUAGCUGUACUUUCCUGCAGGCAUUGCCUACUGAAGAAACAUGUUUCCUUGAGAGAUACAUUAUACUUGGAAGCCCAAUGCUUCUUCAUCUUCAUCUUCUCUGCGGCAAGUUCUUUCCCAGUCAAGAAUCUCCUCUCAUUUAACAAAGUGCUUUUCCCAGCUAACAUGCAUUUGCCAUCUCAGGGACAUGUGGCUGGCUUUGGCAACAUUCUGAGGUUUACAGCUGUUUGAGGUGUGGUGAGGAGUCCCUUAGGAAUUGACAGUUCAAACACAGAGCCAUCCUACUCAGGUUUCCUAGUAGACACUUCUCUUCCAGGGAACACUUUUAAAAUGUCAGCUCUACUUCUGAGUUUGUGAAUUUAUUUGAAGUCUGUCUUUUUUGUGGGUCAACAAGAUAAAAUUGUAGCCUACAAAUAGUUACAAGUUUUCCAGGAAAUUCUGGACAUACUCAGGUGCAAAAACACUAAUGCCAUUGUUCUUUUCCCCUCCUCCUGAACUCAUUCCUUCUUUUCAGUAUCUAGCAGAUCUGUCCAGCUUUAGAAGAAACACGGGGUAUACAUGAGCAUACAUAUUCACUGAGACAAUGGUACUGAUCUAAUGGAAGCUCACCAAGGCCAACUGGACUGAGACUGAUGGAGCAUGUGAUCCAACCAGACUCUCUGA
Arvicola amphibius (Eurasian water vole) is the source of this 1568-nucleotide long non-coding RNA. RefSeq lists it as uncharacterized. The transcript has 3 exons. The record is from RefSeq and is a predicted model, not a curated record. NCBI's taxonomy places the organism in Eukaryota, Metazoa, Chordata, Mammalia, Rodentia, Cricetidae.